GUUAUGCUUAAUUGUCAGGUUAACUACGACUACUUGCCGGAUUAUUUGGAGCUACCUGCCCGGUUCACCAUGAAUACUGCCACGUUAAUUAUGUCUAAUUGCCAGAUUAACGACACCUAGUUACCGAAUUAUUUGGAGCUACUUGCUAGAUUAACAAUGACCACUUGUCACGUUAUUUAUCCAUGCUUACCUAUCUUCUCCUGGUUAUACAUUUACGCUACCGUUAAGAGCAACAUCAUACUCUGCAUCAAUCACAACAACCAGCCCAAUAAUCGAAUCAAAUUGCUUAUACCAGAGAGAAAACCCCUCGAAUGAUCACAACAUCAUCAUACAGUAUAGCUAUUAUAUGGCGAACAAAGUUCUCAACGGCCUAUACCAUGCAAUCUUUUCGAAAAGCACCCCUAGAUCACGUAGUUCCAGAAAAAAGCAUCCCGGUGAGGCAUUCCUUCGAACACCUAAAGGGCAUUAGAAGUACCUCUCCAUCCGCUGCCGUCGCACACGCCAACGAGGCGUCCUGACGAGCGAGCCGCCGCAUCUGCACACCGGCGCCACCGCCGCAAUAUCCUCCUGCCAUUGCUGGCCACAGCCCCGGCCCGGGCCUCCGUGCUGCCGCCUCUGCACACGCGCGCCGCUGCACUGGCGCCGGCGCCAGACGCCUGCCUCCGCACGACGCUGCCUCCUCUGCACAGGCGGGCUGCUGCACGGGCGCCACCGCCGUAAUACCCUGCCGCUGCUGGCCCCAGCCCCGCUCCGGGCGGCCCCGCUGCCUCAACGACGCCGCACGCCUUCCUCCUCACCGCACGGCCGCCGUUUGCCUACUCGCCAGAGAAAGACACCCUUCGCCGCCAGCUCCUUGCCCGUAUACGUCGUCGCCAUCGCUGCCGGCGUAUGCCGCCACAACGUCUUCAAUCGACUCCGCGGGGGAAGCUGGGGGAACCGCCCCGCCGCACCUCCACACGGCUUCUGGCGCCGCACCGCUGCUACCUCGCCGCCUCCGCACGUCACUGCUGCAGCUGUCGGCGUCGUCCCACUGCUACCCAUCCGCCUCCACGCCCCAGAGAGUAGAUUAGGGGAUGGUUGGGAUGGGAUGAGAGGGGAUGAGGUCGGGGGAGGGAGGAGAUCGGGGGAGGGAUGGGAGGGGGUGAGAUCGGGGAGGGCAGGCUCGUCACGGGAUGACACGGGGGAAGAGAUGGGAUGAGAAUGGGAUGGCGAUGGAUAGCCAAAAUGUGGAUAUCCAUGGAUAUUCAGGGAUAUUCAGUUCAUGGAUCACGGGUAUGGAUCGGUUUUUCGAUCCAUGGAUAUUCACUCAUGGAUACCCGCCAACUCAUGGAGCGGGUACGGAUAUCACAUUCGAUCCAUGGAUAUUCAUGGAUACCCGGUAUUUAAUGAAAUAAAUAAAUUACUGACAUGUGGG
RNAcentral lists this long non-coding RNA (1414 nucleotides) under Brachypodium distachyon (stiff brome). RNAcentral's name for it is "long non-coding RNA (BDIS_LNC000518)". Lineage: Eukaryota; Viridiplantae; Streptophyta; Magnoliopsida; Poales; Poaceae. The record is from RNAcentral.